CGUGUGGUUCUAUUUUGUUGGUUUCUAGGACCGCCGUAAUGAUUAAUAGGGACAGUCGGGGGCAUCAGUAUUCAAUUGUCAGAGGUGAAAUUCUUGGAUUUAUUGAAGACUAACUACUGCGAAAGCAUUUGCCAAGGAUGUUUUCAUUAAUCAGGAACGAAAGUUAGGGGAUCGAAGACGAUCAGAUACCGUCGUAGUCUUAACCAUAAACUAUGCCGACUAGGGAUCGGACGAUGUUAUUUUUUGACUCGUUCGGCACCUUACACGAAAGUACAAGUUUCUGGGUUCUGGGGGGAGUAUGGUCGCAAGGCUGAAACUUAAAGAAAUUGACGGAAGGGCACCACCAGGGGUGGAGCCUGCGGCUUAAUUUGACUCAACACGGGGAAACUCACCAGGUCCAGACACGACGAGGAUUGACAGAUUGAGAGCUCUUUCUUGAUUUCGUGGGUGGUGGUGCAUGGCCGUUCUUAGUUGGUGGAGUGAUUUGUCUGCUUAAUUGCGAUAACGAACGAGACCUUAACCUGCUAAAUAGCCCGCGUUGCUUUGGCAGCGCGCCGGCUUCUUAGAGGGACUAUCGGCUCAAGCCGAUGGAAGUUUGAGGCAAUAACAGGUCUGUGAUGCCCUUAGAUGUUCUGGGCUGCACGCGCGUUACACUGACGGAGCCAGCGAGUACUUCCUUGGCCGAAAGGCCCGGGUAAUCUUGUUAAACUCCGUCGUGC
RNAcentral lists this ribosomal RNA (719 nucleotides) under uncultured fungus. Its description in RNAcentral is "SSU rRNA". It matches the Rfam family "Eukaryotic small subunit ribosomal RNA", at positions 827 to 1570 of the family's 1831-position model. The record is from RNAcentral. Lineage: Eukaryota; Fungi.